AUUGAACGCUGGCGGCAGGCCUAACACAUGCAAGUCGAGCGAGCGGCGGACGGGGGAGUAAUGUCUGGGAAACUGCCUGAUGGAGGGGGAGAACAACUGGAAAAGGUAGCGAAUAAAGCAUACCAUCAGAUGUGCGCAGAUGGGAUUAGCUAGUAGGUGGGGUAAUGGCUCACCUAGGCGACGAUCCCUAGCUGGUCUGAGAGGAUGACCAGCCACACUGGAACUGAGACACGGUCCAGACUCCUACGGGAGGCAGCAGUUGGGAAUAUUGCACAAUGGGCGCAAGCCUGAUACAGCCAUGCCGCGUGUAUGAAGAAGGCCUUCGGGUUGUAAAGUACUUUCAGCGGGGAGGCGUUACUCGCAGAAGAAGCACCGGCUAACUCCGUGCCAGCAGCCGCGGUAAUAC
Molecule: ribosomal RNA, 406 nt
Filed under: uncultured bacterium
Lineage: Bacteria
Description: partial 16S ribosomal RNA
Rfam family: Bacterial small subunit ribosomal RNA
Source: RNAcentral